UACGGAGGGUGCAAGCGUUGUCCGGAAUCACUGGGCGUAAAGGGCGCGUAGGCGGCCAUUCAAGUCGGGGGUGAAAGCCUGUGGCUCAACCACAGAAUUGCCUUCGAUACUGUUUGGCUUGAGUAUGGCAGAGGUCAGUGGAACUGCGAGUGUAGAGGUGAAAUUCGUAGAUAUUCGCAAGAACACCAGUGGCGAAGGCGGCUGACUGGGCCAUUACUGACGCUGAGGCGCGAAAGCGUGGGGAGAAAACAGG
RNAcentral lists this ribosomal RNA (253 nucleotides) under uncultured bacterium. RNAcentral describes it as "partial 16S ribosomal RNA". It matches the Rfam family "Bacterial small subunit ribosomal RNA", at positions 524 to 776 of the family's 1533-position model. The record is from RNAcentral.